UAUCUAGAAAAGCUAAAACGU
RNAcentral lists this microRNA (21 nucleotides) under Sorghum bicolor (sorghum). RNAcentral's name for it is "sbi-miR5568e-3p". The record is from miRBase by way of RNAcentral. Lineage: Eukaryota; Viridiplantae; Streptophyta; Magnoliopsida; Poales; Poaceae.